Molecule: ribosomal RNA, 497 nt
Filed under: uncultured bacterium
Lineage: Bacteria
Description: partial 16S ribosomal RNA
Rfam family: Bacterial small subunit ribosomal RNA
Source: RNAcentral
GACGAACGCUGGCGGCGUGCCUAAUACAUGCAAGUUGAGCGCUGAAGGUUGGUACUUGUUCCGACUGGAUGAGCAGCGAACGGGUGAGUAACGCGUGGGGAAUCUGCCUUUGAGCGGGGGACAACAUUUGGAAACGAAUGCUAAUACCGCAUAAAAACUUUAAACACAAGUUUUAAGUUUGAAAGAUGCAAUUGCAUUACUCAAAGAUGAUACCGCGUUGUAUUAGCUAGUUGGUGAGGUAAAGGCUCACCAAAGCGAUGAUACAUAGCCGACCUGAGAGGGUGAUCGGCCACAAUGGGACUUGGAAACGGGCCAAACUCCUACGGGAGGCAGCAGUAGGGAAUCUUCGGCAAAGGGCGAAAGGCUGACCGAGCAACGCCGCGGGAGGGAAGAAGGUUUUCGGAUUGUAAAACUCUUUUGGUAGAGAAGAACGUUGGGGGGAGUAGAAUGCUCAUCAAGUGACGGUAACUACCCAGAAAGGGACGGCUAACUACGUG